Zingiber officinale is the source of this 2103-nucleotide RNA transcript. It is a transcript of the gene named pentatricopeptide repeat-containing protein At1g77360, mitochondrial-like, with no coding region annotated. The record is from RefSeq and is a predicted model, not a curated record. The transcript has 3 exons. Lineage: Eukaryota; Viridiplantae; Streptophyta; Magnoliopsida; Zingiberales; Zingiberaceae.
CUUGUUUUCUUAAUCCCUUUUACCUGAUGUGCCGGAGAGGCAAACCCUAAUCAGGCCAAGCGGAUGUCCAAUCUAGACCUCCUGACGGCGUCAAAACCCCAGCUUGCUCUGGAAUCGUGCCGAAACUUCUACUGCACCGACGGCGCCGGCCACCGAGGUACUGGCGAUGACUACUCCGACGGUCCACGAGAUUAGUUCGUUGCAGCCCACGUCGGUGAUGGCUUCGAGCCUCCUGGCCCCGGAUCCUCGCGUCCGCGCAUUCUGCGAUAUCCUGUCGCGGGUGCCUCCGGCGGAGGUGGAGACUGUCCUCUCCCGAUGCGGUAUCACUCCUCUUUCCGAACACGUGGAGUCUGUUCUCCGCCUCUGCUAUGCAACGCCUGCCACCGCCGUCAGGUUCUUCCGCUGGGCGGGUCUCACCCUGAAGCACAGCCCGUACGCCUGGAACUUGAUGGUCGAUAUCCUCGGGAAGAACGGCCUGUUCGAGCCCAUGUGGGACGCCAUCCGCUCCAUGAAGCAAGAGGCCGUGCUCUCCGCCGCGACCUUCGCCUCUGCCUUCGGCUCCUACUGCACCGCCGGCCGGAUCAAGGAGGCUAUCAUGACAUUCGACGUUAUGGACCGGUACGGCGUCGCCAAGGACGUUGCGGCGGCGAACUCCCUCCUCAGUGCCAUAUGCUGCGAGGACGGCCACACCAGCGAGGCGGCUGAUUUUUUUGAUCGCGUGAAGUUAACUAUUCCCCCGAACGGUGAUACCUUCGCCAUCCUAUUGGAAGGCUGGGAGAAGGAGGGCAAUGCCGCUCGCGCGAAAAACACGUUUGGUGAGAUGGUGAUUCGCGUCGGCUGGAACGCCGACAACAUGUCCGCCUAUGAUGCCUUCCUCACCACCCUUGUUCGUGGUUCACAGUCCGAUGAGGCUGUGAAAUUCCUCAAGGUGAUGAAGACUAAUAAUUGUCUCCCUGGGAUGAAGUUUUUUAGUAACGCCCUUGACAUCCUCAUCCAGCAGCAAAGCCAUUUGCAUGCCCUUUCUCUGUGGAAUAUCAUGGUUACUGAGAGUGGUCUCAUUCCCAACCUGGCCAAGUGCAACUCAAUGAUCGGCCUCCUCUGCACCCAACGCGACCUUAAUUCUGCAUACCGAUUGCUUGAUGAAAUGCCAUACUACGGUGUCUUCCCCGAUGACUUAACUUAUAACAUUAUAUUUGAUUCUUUGAUUAGGAACAAGAUGAACCAUGAGGCCGAGAAAUUCUUUGCAGAGAUGCGGAAGAAUGAGCGUCGGCCAUCUCCCCAAAAUUGUACUGCCGCGGUUAGGAUGUACUUCGCCCAGUAUGACCCAUCUGCUGCUGUGGAUAUGUGGAAUUUCAUGGUCGAGGAGCUCUCACCAGAUGAAGAGUGUGCCAAUGAGUUGCUCAUUGGGCUUUGUGAACUGGGGCGGUUGACUGAGGUGAGAAGGUUUGCUGGAGAUAUCUUGGAUAUGGGGAUCAAAAUUCAAACAUCCACUUUGGAUAAAUUGAGAACUGCCUUGUGCAAGGCUGGACGACACGAUGCAUAUGAUCGGAUUGUGAGGAGGCUAGGGAAGAAUUAGGAUGUCUAGAAUGGGAGUUGGCCUGGUUCAUUAUGAUUCAUGGCUGGGUUCCACAGUGAAGACAACAAAAUAAGGAUGUUCAAUAUCACAAAGACACAAUGAUACCAGUUAUUUCCAGUUCUUGUGUGAUAUUUCUUGGGUAUCGACUUUGACAUAUGACUUGGUUCCAUGUAGAAUGUGGGUGUAAACAUUUGCCAGCUGUGUGUAAGACACAUUUCUGAUCUAAGCAAAUUUUGAACACUGCUAAAGAAUCUGUCAAUUUACUUGUCAAGAUUGAAGAGUUUGCUCGGCCAGUCACUUAGAAUGCAGAUAUUUAUUGUAUAAUCUGUUGGGAGUAUGAUCUUCUUUAUGUUUCUCCAUUUCAUGUAGAAUUUGAGGAUUGAAAUGGAUGGAGCUAUGUUAUCCUAUUCUUUUUUUUGUAAGCCGAUCAGGUAUGUAUCAGGCAGAUAAAUAUAAUUUACUUCGAGAAGCGUAUACAAUAUUUGUUUGAUUUUAAUUGCUCAACUGUAGUGCGGGAAAGUUGGUUA